This 3462-nucleotide ribosomal RNA is filed under the name Candidatus Woesebacteria bacterium. Its description in RNAcentral is "partial 23S ribosomal RNA". It matches the Rfam family "Bacterial large subunit ribosomal RNA", at positions 438 to 2925 of the family's 2925-position model. The record is from RNAcentral. Lineage: Bacteria; Candidatus Woeseibacteriota.
GGGAAUCUAGGGAGGCCACUCUCUAAGGCUAAAUACUCGUUAUGUCCGAUAGUGAACUAGUACCGUGAGGGAAAGGUGAAAAGAAGGGUUAAACACCCUGUGAAAUAGUACCUGAAAUUAUUUGCUAACAAACAGAGAGAGCCUGUCCGUAGGACAGAAAUUUUCAAUUUUCAGUUAUCAAUUUUCAAUCAAUUUUCAAUGAUUCAAUUAUCAAACAAUAAAAUCGAAAUGUUUGUAAAUUGUAAAUUGGAAUUUAUUUGUAAAUUGUAAAUUGUGAAUUGGAAAUUUCCGCCCUGCGGGCGGAGUGAUCUCGUGCCUAUUGAAGAAUGAUCCGGCGAGUUUUUGUAACGCUGCAAGUCUAACCCCGCUUCGCGGGGGAAGGCGUAGGGAAACCAAGUCUGAAUAGGGCGAAAAUAAAGCAGCAUGCAAAAGACCCGAAACCAGGUGAGCUAACCAUGAGCAGGUUGAGUCCCGAUGAAAAUCGGGAGGAGGACCGCACUCUUUAGAGCUACAAAUCUAUGAGAUGACUUGUGGUUAGAGGUAAUAUGCCAAUCGAACCUGGAGAUAGCUGGCUCUCCCCGAAGUAUAUAGAGGUAUAGCCUUGUGCCAGAUGUUGUUGGAGGUAGAGCACUGGAUGGGCCAAGCAUCGCAAGGUGCGUGGUUCAAUCAAACUCCGAAUUCCAACGUACAGUUACACAGGAGUCAGAACGGUGCGGCUAAGCGCAUCGCUCGAAAGGGAAACAACCCAGAUUGUCGUCUAAGGUCUCUAAAUGAAUGCUAAGUGUAUAACGCAGUUAAUUUCCCCAUACAGCUAGGAGGUUGGCUCAGAAGCAGCCAUCCUUUAAAGAAAGCGUAACAGCUCACUAGUCUAUUAAUGGGAAAUUGGCGCGGAAAACUUACCGAGGCUGUAAGCAUUCUACCGAAGACACAGAUUUGGAAUUGCAUUCGUGCAAUUCCAAGUGGUAGGGGAGCGUUGAAGUUGCAGUGAAGGUCUGGUGUAAACCGGGCUGGAGCGGCUUCAAGUGAGAAUGCCGGAAUGAGUAGCGUAACUGUGGUGAGAAUCCAUAGCACCGAAUGCCCAAGGGUUUCCCGGCCAUGUUGUUCAUCCGGGAGUUAGUCGGCACCUAAGGCGAGGCCACAGAAGGCGUAGUCGAUGGACGAGCCGUAAAUAUUCGGCUACAUGGAACAUAUCGUUAUCAACUAGGGAUGGACCGAACGAGAAUAACCAAGCGCACGCAGUGAAUGUGGCGUUUAAGCAGUAAAAAAGUCUGAUCUAGGAAAAUCCGGAUUAGGCGUUAUAACUUGAGCUGUGACGAAAAGUUUUUGGAGCAAUUUGAAGACAAUUUGGUGAUUUUUUGUUUGCCAGAAAAGAUUCGUAGUGAGAUAUGUUUUAUGCCGUACCGCAAACCGACACAGGUGGGCUGGUCGAGAAGACCAAGGUGAUCGAGAGAAGGUAGUUCAAGGAACUCGGCAAAAUAGCUGGACGUAAUUUCGAAAGAUGUCCUACCCGCAUAGCCGCAAGGCGACGUGGGUCCCAGCAAAAGAUUGUCCUGCGACUGUUUAACUAAAACACAGGUCUGUGCAAACGCGAAAGCGAAAGUAUACAGGCUGAAGCCUGCCCAGUGCUCGUAAGUUAAGUGAAUGGGUGAGAUUACAUCAAGCUCUGAAAUGAAGCUCGAGUGAACGGCAGCAGUAACUAUGAGUCCAAUAAAAGGACCAGUUGUAGUUAUAAAAGUCGACUAUAUGCUGGAACAUCCGUACCGUACAAACGGUUGUAGUAUCUGUCGCUAGUCUGAUAUAUAAUCAGACUGACAAUGCGCACAGUGCGGAAAAUCAGCAGGAAAGACUUGAAUCAGAUACAUCUUGGAUUUUUCUUGGCAGGAUUUGUCGAAGGAGAAGGAAGUUUCAAUAUCUCUUUGCGCCGCAAAGCUGACUACAUUGUUAGUUGGCAAGUGGUAAUGAGUUUUAAUGUUUCACAAAAAGAUCCUACAAUACUCAAAAUAUUGCAGAAUCAAUUAAAUUGUGGAAUUAUAAAAACACGAAAGAAAGAUAAUUUACAUUCCUUUGAUGUCACAAAUCCGCAAGAUAUAAUUCAAAAAGUAAUUCCAUAUUUUCAAAAAUACCCAGUACUUUCCGAUUCAAAAAGAAGAAACUUUGCAAUAUUUUGUAAAGUUGCAUCACUUAUGAACAAAGGAGAGCAUAAAAAUAAAUUGGGAUUAAGAAAAAUUCUCGAACUUCGAGAAAUAAUUAACGAAGGGAAGGGAAGAACUAGAAAAUAUUCAAUUACAGAUGUGUUUCCUGAUUAUUAAGAAUCCUCAGAGACUAUACGUCGACUCCCGAUUUAAUCGGGAAUGAUAUAGUCCGAUCUUGCAAGCGAUUGCAAGCGCCGUACCCAAUCGGCCAAGUAACAAAAAUGAACUGUUCUAUGGUGAAUAACACUGCCAUAGUGAGGUAAAAACCUCCGUCAAGUGUCCCGAUAGCCGUCGGGAUGGAGAUGAAAAUUCUGCUAUAUGCUGGAAUAACUGAGCAUCUAGUGAUACUAUAUUGUUAUGGAUGAUUUAGGUGGCGGACCAGACAAUUAGUAAUAAUUCAACUAGUGCAGUCAAUCAGCAGGAAAGAUCCUGAGAGUAAUCAAAGGAAAUCCUCAGAGACUAUAUGCAGAAUCCUGAGAGUAAUCGAAGGAAAGAUAUAGUCCGAUCUCCGAUGCGAAUCGGAGUUAACACAAAUAAGCGAAAUUCCUUGCCAGGUAAGUUCUGGCCCGCACGAACGGCUCAACGACAGGACAACUGUCUCGAACUAUCACUCGGCGAAUUUGAAAUGGCUGUGAAGAUGCGGCCUACCCCUACUAGGACAAAAAGACCCUAUGGAGCUUUACUGUAUCCAGGCCCUGUUUUGGAUAUUUUGAUAUUGAGUGUAGGAGGGAGCCUUCGGGCAACAAUGAAACACCUCUUUUUAAGAUAUUUCAAGACUCACCCAUGGAGGCUAAAAUCGCCUUCGGAGACAAGGUCUGGUGGGCAGUUUUACUGGGGAGGUGUCCUGCUAAAUUGUAACGCAGGAGUACCAAGGUGCACUAGGCGCGGAUGGAAAUCGCGCGAGUCGUGUAACGGCAUAAGUGCGCUUAACUGUGAGAGUGACAACUCGAUCAGAUGCGAAAGCAGGUCGUAAUGAUCCCCCGCAGCGCAGUGGUUGUGCUCGGGGCUUAUCGGAUAAAAGCUACCCUAGGGAUAACAGGCUGAUCGCUCCCAAGCGUCCACAGCGACGGGGCGGUUUGGCACCUCGAUGUCGGCUCAUCGCAUCCUGGGGGGGCAGCACCUCCCAAGGGUCCGUCUGUUCGCCGGUUAAAGCGGUACGUGAGCUGGGUUCAGAGCGUCGUGAGACAGCUGAGUCUGAUAACAUAUCAGACUGACAUACGAACUGUCUCUCAUUCAGCGCUCAAUUAUUUUUACAUCAAGGCUUGUUAUU